AGGAAAACCACAGGUCGACAUUGUUUAUCCUGAGGUAGAACAAAGCUACCCAGAGGUGGAUCAAACUUAUACAGAGGUGGAUCAAACUUAUCCAGAGGUAGAUCCAGUUUAUCCAGAGCCUGACUACUAUUAUCCAGAACCAGAACCUGAACCAG
Long non-coding RNA from Physella acuta, 155 nucleotides. RefSeq lists it as uncharacterized. The record is from RefSeq and is a predicted model, not a curated record. NCBI's taxonomy places the organism in Eukaryota, Metazoa, Mollusca, Gastropoda, Physidae.